GAUGAACGCUAGCGGCAGGCUUAACACAUGCAAGUCGAGGGGUAACAGGAGUGCUUGCACUCGCUGACGACCGGCGCACGGGUGCGUAACGCGUAUAGAACCUACCUUUUACAGAGGGAUAGCCUUUAGAAAUGAAGAUUAAUACCUCAUAGUAUUGAGAUUUGGCAUCAGAACUCAAUUAAAGAUUUAUCGGUAAAAGAUGGCUAUGCGUCCUAUUAGCUAGAUGGUAAGGUAACGGCUUACCAUGGCAACGAUAGGUAGGGGCCCUGAGAGGGGGAUCCCCCACACUGGUACUGAGACACGGACCAG
This 309-nucleotide ribosomal RNA is filed under the name uncultured Polaribacter sp. RNAcentral describes it as "bacterial SSU rRNA". It matches the Rfam family "Bacterial small subunit ribosomal RNA", at positions 28 to 334 of the family's 1533-position model. Lineage: Bacteria; Pseudomonadati; Bacteroidota; Flavobacteriia; Flavobacteriales; Flavobacteriaceae. The record is from RNAcentral.